CCCCCCAGACAGUCACACAAGAGGUGUGUGUCCCCCCAGACAGUCACACAAGAGGUGUGUGUCCCCCCCAGAGACAGUCACACAAGAGGUGUGUGUCCCCCAGACAGUCACACAAGAGGUGUG
Long non-coding RNA from Erinaceus europaeus (western European hedgehog), 123 nucleotides. RefSeq lists it as uncharacterized. The record is from RefSeq and is a predicted model, not a curated record. The transcript is spliced from 3 exons. NCBI's taxonomy places the organism in Eukaryota, Metazoa, Chordata, Mammalia, Eulipotyphla, Erinaceidae.